Molecule: ribosomal RNA, 497 nt
Filed under: uncultured bacterium
Lineage: Bacteria
Description: partial 16S ribosomal RNA
Rfam family: Bacterial small subunit ribosomal RNA
Source: RNAcentral
GAUGAACGCUGGCGGCGUGCCUAAUACAUGCAAGUCGAGCGAACAGACGAGGAGCUUGCUCCUCUGACGUUAGCGGCGGACGGGUGAGUAACACGUGGAUAACCUACCUAUAAGACUGGGAUAACUUCGGGAAACCGGAGCUAAUACCGGAUAAUAUAUUGAACCGCAUGGUUCAAUAGUGAAAGACGGUUUUGCUGUCACUUAUAGAUGGAUCCGCGCCGCAUUAGCUAGUUGGUAAGGUAACGGCUUACCAAGGCAACGAUGCGUAGCCGACCUGAGAGGGGGAUCGGCCACCCUGGAACUGAGACACGGUCCAGACUCCUACGGGAGGCAGCAGUAGGGAAUCUUCCGCAAUGGGCGAAAGCCUGACGGAGCAACGCCGCGUGAGUGAUGAAGGUCUUCGGAGCGUAAAACUCUGUUAUUAGGGAAGAACAAAUGUGUAAGUAACUAUGCACGUCUUGACGGUACCUAAUCAGAAAGCCACGGCUAACUACGUG